AAUAAUUUACUUGUGUGUUUUCUUAUUUUUCAUUUACUUACUUGUUUUAUUUUAUUUUUAAAGUGACGUGUGUUUUUUGUGGUUUUUGAGUUGCAAUUGUGAGUAUUUUCUAUGUUCUCUUGAUUAAAGACAUGUGGUGUGAUGUGAUUGAUUCUUUUUGUGCAUUAUUAGUAUGAUAUGUAGGAAUAAACUCUAAAUUGUACAUCAUUUGUGGCAGAUCAAUUAACCUUGUG
RNAcentral lists this long non-coding RNA (233 nucleotides) under Lathyrus oleraceus (garden pea). Its description in RNAcentral is "Pisum sativum (pea) long non-coding RNA (PSAT_LNC012683)". The record is from RNAcentral. Lineage: Eukaryota; Viridiplantae; Streptophyta; Magnoliopsida; Fabales; Fabaceae.